RNAcentral lists this long non-coding RNA (397 nucleotides) under Homo sapiens (human). Its description in RNAcentral is "non-protein coding lnc-RGS6-1:1". The record is from RNAcentral. Lineage: Eukaryota; Metazoa; Chordata; Mammalia; Primates; Hominidae.
GCUAGCAAUCAGCAAGACUCUGUGGGCGUAGGACCCUCCGAGCCAGGUGCCGGAUAUAAUCUCGUGGUGUGCCGUUUUUUAAGCCGGUCCGAAAAGCGCAAUAUUCGGGUGGGAGUGACCUGAUUUUCCAGAUAAUUGACAAUAGGCUCCCAUGGAAGUCUUCUGUGCAUUUCUGCAAAAAUUUAGGAAACAUUAGGUUUGACACCAUCAUCAUGUUUGCCAAGGCAGCAAAAAUCCCAGCCGGCAAAGCUUCAAGUGUGAUGAAGCGGAACAGCAAGGACAGCACGGAAUGACUGAUCAUUUCAGAAUGCCGUCUAGCGAGAGUUUCCAAUGUGGGAGUUUUCCAUUGUUUUGAAGCAGGAGAAAUAGGGACCGGCUGCUUUGGAAGAAACAUGCU